CCCAACUAUCCCUAUUAAUCAUUACGGCGGUCCUAUUCUAUUAUUCCAUGCUAAUGUAUUCAGACGAUAGUCUGCUUUAAACACUCUAAUUUUUUCAAAGUAACAGUCCUGAUUUCCCAUCACACCAAAUAAAUGGCAUGAAAGUUCCUCAGAAGGUAGAGAUCCAUCUCACCAGUGCAGACAAUUAAGCCUGACCAAUGGGUAGACCCCGAGGUUCAACUACGAGCUUUUUAACUGCAACAACUUUAAUAUACGCUAUUGGAGCUGGAAUUACCGCGGCUGCUGGCACCAGACUUGCCCUCCAA
RNAcentral lists this unclassified non-coding RNA (305 nucleotides) under uncultured Diversisporaceae. RNAcentral describes it as "sequence contains 18S rRNA gene". Lineage: Eukaryota; Fungi; Glomeromycota; Glomeromycetes; Diversisporales. The record is from RNAcentral.